GGCCUGUCUCAGGGGAUUAUGCAUAAUUGAGCAUUGGGCUAGUAUUCCAAAGGUCGUAGGUUCGAUUCCCACCGUGGCCA
This is a non-coding RNA of Paramuricea clavata, 80 nucleotides long. NCBI's taxonomy places the organism in Eukaryota, Metazoa, Cnidaria, Anthozoa, Malacalcyonacea, Plexauridae. The record is from the annotation of a GenBank genome assembly.